Molecule: ribosomal RNA, 433 nt
Filed under: uncultured bacterium
Lineage: Bacteria
Description: partial 16S ribosomal RNA
Rfam family: Bacterial small subunit ribosomal RNA
Source: RNAcentral
AACGAACGCUGGCGGCAUGCCUAACACAUGCAAGUCGAACGAGACCUUCGGGUCUAGUGGCGCACGGGUGCGUAACGCGUGGGAACCUGCCCUUAGGUUCGGAAUAACUCCCCGUAAGGGGUGCUAAUACCGGAUAAUUUCUUCGGACCAAAGAUUUAUCGCCCUUGGAUGGGCCGGCGUUGGAUUAGCUAGUUGGUAGGGUAAAAGCCUACCAAGGCGACGAUCCAUAGCUGGUCUGAGAGGAUGAGCAGCCACACUGGGACUGAGACACGGCCCAGACUCCUACGGGAGGCAGCAGUGGGGAAUAUUGGACAAUGGGCGAAAGCAUGAUCCAGCAAUGCCGCGUGAGUGAUGAAGGCCUUAGAGUUGUAAAGCUCUUUUACACGGGAUGAUAAUGACAGUACCGGGAGAAUAAGCUCCGGCUAACUCCGUG